RNAcentral lists this long non-coding RNA (812 nucleotides) under Lactuca sativa (garden lettuce). RNAcentral describes it as "long non-coding RNA (LSAT_LNC005872)". The record is from RNAcentral. Lineage: Eukaryota; Viridiplantae; Streptophyta; Magnoliopsida; Asterales; Asteraceae.
UCAAGAAAGAACUUGAUUUAAAAUUAAUAUGUGAAAAAUAAAUGAAGUUUGAAAACUAGCAAUUAAGAAACAAAUUAUGAUGUUAUUAGCAUUACUUAUUGACACCAUUAUACAACAUUCUAAUAUGUCAAGCACACAAGUAAAAUUAUUCACGAAGCAUGAAAUAAGAAACUUACAAUUCGCCCUGCUUCAUGAGAAACAUUUUGGAGUUCUUCAUACAUCUCUAGUCACAUAUUAAUAACUUUUAUAAGGAGUCUGUACGCAGAAAUACAAGUAAAGCAAUACAAAGGUAAUUUAAUAUCAAAUACUGGUCACUGAAUGGGAAGAUCGUCCACAUCCAAACAUUUCUAUAAAUAAGAACUACAACAUAAUAAGAGAUAAGCAUAUGUUUUGACAGCCAAAGUAACCCCUAAGCAAUUCAAAAGUGCAGAAUUCAUAUAUCAUCCAAAAACAAACUAAAACAUACUUGCAUGACCUAUGAUAUGGUAAAAUGGAUGCGCCAAAGCAAAAAAAGUAAUCAAUCGAAAAGAAAUGAAAUACAGAAAAACCUAAUAUAAAUCCACAUCAUUCCUUAACUUAUGAUACCCUACAAUAGCCAUGACAAAAAGCAUCAGAAUACAGGCAAAUAAGCCCUAACAAAGCUCACAGGGGCAAAACAAUAAUUAUAAAUUAAUCUAAGUGAGAGCAAACGUGUUGAACCUGGCCCGAAAAGCCUCUUACGGAACCCUCCGCCGCUUUCAUAAGGAGACCUUCCAUCUUCCGCCGUGGCCAUAGGAAACUGCAGCUGUCGAGUAGCAAAGAGAAAGUGAAAG